Molecule: long non-coding RNA, 3209 nt
Filed under: Equus asinus (donkey)
Lineage: Eukaryota; Metazoa; Chordata; Mammalia; Perissodactyla; Equidae
Description: lncRNA (ENSEASG00005025202.1)
Source: RNAcentral
GCUAAGCCGCCGACCGGCCCUGCUCGGCCGCCGAGAGCCGCGCGCUGCGCUCCGCCGCGGGGCAGGGCUGACGCCGCAGCGGACGCGGGCCCCGGCCGUCGGCACCGGAAGGAGGAGAAGGAGGAGGAGGGCGCGGAGGCGCUCGGGUCCCCGCCGACCAGCCGGGGGUACUGGCCGCGGCGCUCCGCACGUGCGGCGACCCGCCCUGUGCGCCAUGGCGCGUCGGCCCCGGUUGCCGGGUGCCGCCCCUUAGCGCCGAGGCGGCCCAGCGACCCCGGGACCCGGGACCCCCGGGCAUGGAGCCGCACGUGCUCGGCGCUCUCCUCUACUGGCUGCUGCUACCCUUCGCGCUCCUGGCCGCCUGCCUGUUCCGCUGCAACGCGCUCUCGCUGGUCUACCUGCUGUUCCUGCUGCUGCUGCCCUGGCUCCCGGGCCCCUCCUGGCACAGCCUCCGAGGUCACACUGGCCGCCUCCUCCGAGCCCUGCUGGUCUUCAGCCUCCUCUUCCUGGCAGCCCACUUUGCCUUCCAGAUAUGUCUGUACACCGUGCCCCACCUGGACCAGCUUCUGGGACCGAGCUGCAGCCCCUGGGAGACCCUCUCCCGACACAUAGGUGUCACGAGGUUGGACCUGAAGGACAUCCCCAACACCGUCCGGCUGGUGGCCCCCGACCUGGGCAUCCUGGUGGUCUCCUCCGUGUGCCUCGGCCUCUGCGGGCGCCUCACACGGGACUCCCAGCGGCGCCAGCACACCCGGGAGCUGGUGAGGGCUGCGGGCGGGCCGGACCGCGUGUCAGAGGGAGGGCUCUCUAGGGCUGUGUCCAGCUGUCUGAGGACGAUUUUAUGUUCGUUUAGUACAAACAUGGACUCUUUAGUUGUGAGAGUUGGUAUGUGCUCACUGUGAAGAGAUGACACACCAGGGAGAGAGGUGUCGUCCCCUUGGGGGGGCAGCAGUGUGGCGUGCCCCUCUAAGACCUGGGCCUGGCAGGGCUCCUUCUCGGGCAGACACGUGCAGGGAGCCCCAGCCAGCAUCUGCGCCCUCAGACCCUUCCUGGAGGAGACUCCUGGUGGCCACAGGGCAGUAGGGAACCAGCAGCAUCAGAGGGUGGUCUGUGCCGGCCGUCAGGGAGCACCCUGGGACGGGUGGACAGAUGGACAGACGCUGAGCAGCCACACCCACAGCAGGGGCAUCAUCGGUGGGGCUGCGGGCAGGGCGGGGCCAUGCAGGCUCAGAGCCCAGCGAGGCCCUAAGUCAGACUGUCCUUGGAGGGACCAUCCAGGGGUCUUCUUCGGGUGGGGCUGAGCACUGGGCCCUUCGAUGUCCUCUGUGGUCGAAGGCUCAGUGUCCUCUGCCCUGCACUGAGGCUGCGCUUGCCAGCCCAGCCUGGCCCCCCACACCUGGCCUCGGGCUCCAUCCAGGGAUCCCGGCACAAGAGCUCCCUCUGGGGAGGCCCUGGCAGCCACAGGCCCACCCCCCCACCACCAAGUCCCAGCGUUUACUUGUCCAACUGAUGCUUGCUGGGCACUAGGGCCUUGACCUCCAGAGAGCCCAGAGAGGCGAGGGGCUUCCCAGGGCCACACAGCAGGUCAGGGGCGACUCUGCCUGCAGCUCAUGUGGCCCCUGUCCCACCCCUCCACGUCCUCGACCUGCAGGGCAAGACUGAUGCCCCAUUUCAAAGUGGGAACGCAGCCUGGAGGUCGAGGGGCUUCUCUGGGCAGUUGUGGGGGAAGCCAGGGCUGGGACUGCCCUUCUGGCUGCCCUCGGGACACCCCUUCCCUGGGCCUCCCAGCUCGGUUGGCCCUUCUCCAGCCCCACGGUGGUGUGUGGGUGCCAGCGGGUUCGUGGGCCAGGGCUGCCUCUGGCUUCCUCGUUAGUGGAGCUGGGCCUUCCCAGAACGGCUCUGCCGGGAAAGGCUGGACUCAUCCCCCAACCUGGGGUGGGCGGGCUCAGCCCCACUCCACGCUGCCAUCGCCCCUCAGAGCACGUGCUGCCCUGGCGGCACCUGGAGGCUGGACUCUGGUCUAUAGGGCACUGGGUCAGGCCCCCGUCACUCGAGCGUCCUCGGUGGCAGAUAGGGGCCUGCGUGUCCUGCCAACCCCAGACGGCUGUAUAGACGCUGAGCGAGGAGGUAGGGGCACCCUUCCCAGGUGCCCACUUUUAGAGACCAGAGCCAGGAGCAACCCAAAUGCCCUCUGCACGUACGACACUGCCCAGCAGGACCACACGUGCACACAGUUGCACAUGACCCACGUACGUGCACACGUCCUGACUUCACACGCAUGCACAUGCCCUGAGGGGGCAGACGGGCUGUGGUGGGAGGUGCGGAGACAUGUGGAAACUUCUGCUGAGCCUGUGGGCCUGUGGGACGUGCCGAGUCGGGCCGGAGCCAGGCCUAGCUGGCCUGGACGCCGCAGGCGGCCCCAAGCACCUGUGCGUCCACCCUGCAGCUGCUUCUGUCCCUCCCACUCCCAGAAACGCUCAUUUUUCACGGGCCUUCCCAGAAACUUUCCCAGGGCCAGGGCCAGGACCAGCUGUGGGCGGGGGAGCCAGGCCUGGCUGCCGCGCCCUCCGGCCGUCUCCCUGUCCCAGGCGGCCGGGCCCCCAGCCCUCACAGUCAGGGUCUGACAGAGGCACCCUGACCUCAAGGGCUCCUGCUCCGCUGUCUCAGUCCUUCCUACCCUGGGCCCCGUUCCCCUGGUCUACCCCUCCCCUCCUUCCACGCACAGCUCACCGGCCUCCCUGGGGCCUCCAGACCCCCAGCUUGGUGAGGGCAGGACCUGUGUCUGGUUCGUCUCUCCUGCCUGGUCUCACCCACAUUGACAGGCGGGAAACAGAGGGGUUAGGUGACUUGCCCGAGGCUGCACAGAUGGGAGACUUGGAGCUGGGCUUCGGCCAGGUCUCCUGGCUCCAGAGCCUGUGCUCUCCGCUCGGACGCCAAGUGCCCCUCAGCUGCUGGGAAGGGCACAUGCACAGCACCCAUUUUACAGAUGGGGACGCGGGGCGCCUGACGCAGAGUCCGGGUUCUCUUUGCCUCCCCUGGCUCCGCCCAACGUCCAGGAAACAGCUCUGUUCUGGGGAACCUUGAGGCUGGGCAGGGACACAGACCCUGGUGGAUCCCGUGCCCCACCCCACCCCACAGCAGGUGAGGCCUGGAGGGGCCGUCUGUUUCCUCGUCCCUCCAGAGGGCAGCCUCCAGGCACCGCGUGUCCG